This 399-nucleotide ribosomal RNA is filed under the name uncultured bacterium. RNAcentral describes it as "bacterial SSU rRNA". It matches the Rfam family "Bacterial small subunit ribosomal RNA", at positions 30 to 429 of the family's 1533-position model. The record is from RNAcentral.
AUUGAACGCUGGCGGCAUGCCUUACACAUGCAAGUCGAACGGCAGCACGGGUGCUUGCACCUGGUGGCGAGUGGCGAACGGGUGAGUAAUAUAUCGGAACGUACCUUAUUGUGGGGGAUAACGCAGCGAAAGCUGUGCUAAUACCGCAUAAUCCCUUAGGGGGAAAGCGGGGGACCGUAAGGCCUCGCGCAAUUAGAGCGGCCGAUACCUGAUUAGCUAGUUGGUGAGGUAAAGGCUCACCAAGGCAACGAUCAGUAGCUGGUCUGAGAGGACGAUCAGCCACACUGGGACUGAGACACGGCCCAGACUCCUACGGGAGGCAGCAGUGGGGAAUUUUGGACAAUGGGCGAAAGCCUGAUCCAGCCAUGCCGCGUGAGUGAAGAAGGCCUCGGUUGUAAG